UGGCGCGGCGGGGUCGGUUGCCUCCUCGCGACGGCUGCGCCGGGAUGUUCCGGGGCGGUGGGGUCGCCUGCCCAAUGUCGGGUGCGCGAGUGACGGGUGGAAGCUGGAUUUGUGCGCGUUCUUCAAUGCUCCAAAGGGAGGAGGGAGCCUCCGAGAGUCCACGUGGGGCCGGUGGGAUUCGCAGGGUCCGUUUUCUAAACAUUGGGUGUCCUCGAACCUGGGGGCGCGGGCUGUGUCCGCCCCCAGCAGGGAUGACCAUGCCUGGGUCAGUGGCUGCAUAAAUAAAUAAACGAAUGGGGAGGAAAUUGAUAAAAUAUUAAAAG
This 323-nucleotide long non-coding RNA is filed under the name Homo sapiens (human). RNAcentral describes it as "novel transcript". Lineage: Eukaryota; Metazoa; Chordata; Mammalia; Primates; Hominidae. The record is from RNAcentral.